CGGAUACGUGGCUUCGGAAUAUCGCUCGGUAAACUUACUGUAAUAGUUCGUGAGCCCUAAAAACCCUUUCAGCUGCUUCACACUGCUUGGUCUGGGAAACUCCGCUAUUGCCCGGAUUUUAUCCCGCUGCGGUUUUAUCCCGUUGCGAGUGAUUACGUGGCCCAAAAAAUCUAUUUCUCUCCGGAAAAACUCAGACUUUUUGAAAUUGAUCGUCAGAUUAUAUUUCCUACAUACGUCGAACAACCGCCUCAGGAUCAAGUCCAACGCCCUGAUGAGGCUCGCUAAACUCGUACUUAGCCCAUAUGGGGUAACGGUGAACUGGUACGUCCUCCCUUCGUACAUGAACGCGGUGUACUUCCUAGAUUCCGGGUGCAACGGCACCUGCCAAAAACUUGCG
This 397-nucleotide unclassified non-coding RNA is filed under the name Athalia rosae (coleseed sawfly). Its description in RNAcentral is "misc RNA ENSAEAG00005001960.1". Lineage: Eukaryota; Metazoa; Arthropoda; Insecta; Hymenoptera; Athaliidae. The record is from RNAcentral.